Aedes albopictus (Asian tiger mosquito) is the source of this 1683-nucleotide long non-coding RNA. RefSeq lists it as uncharacterized. Lineage: Eukaryota; Metazoa; Arthropoda; Insecta; Diptera; Culicidae. The record is from RefSeq and is a predicted model, not a curated record. The transcript is spliced from 4 exons.
UGUGAAAUUACCAAUGUGGAAAAUCAAAACAUAAAUACUUUGUCAACAGUUGCGCCACUUCUAAGAUUUUGAAGCAAAAUGGAAUUUGGUGAUCUUGAUGGUCUCCAGUUACUGUUAGAUGCUGCCUCCCAGGUCGAUCAGCAACAACAGAUUGACGUUCCUCCAGCAACUUUAGAACAAAUUCCGAGUGUAGGCUGUUACGAAGAAGUGGGAACUACUCAUCCUGAAGAAUUUGUUCAUCCACCGGCAGCACUUACACUGCAUGGUCCUGAUCAGCGGAUUCAGAAAAAUCUACAUGGAACACAAGAGCAGCAGCCUCUUGACGACAUUCAAAAUGAGCGACAACCCGAUGAAACUUGUUCCAGCGACAGAAAUAAGGAUCCAAAAAAUGAAACCGGUCCGGCAUCAUUUUCAUUUUUUUCGUUAUCUCUGUCCCAACGUGUUGUUUCGACUCCAUUACACGGUCUUGUAAAUCCACAAACGAAAUUUUCAAAUCCGUUGGACCUUUCCAUUUCGACUACUAUGACCGCUGAUGAAGGUCCUCUCGAUCUGUCCAUCGGCCCUCACACAGCUAACGAUUCUGAGAAGGCAAUCGAUUUAGUUCUUCCUAGAACCGUUACAACCAGUCAUUCCACUUGAUUUACGGACCACAAACUUAAACGUACUUGUUCAUCAAAAUCAGCGAGACACAAGCUUCUCUACAGUCGACGGACAGCGAGCUUUUUCCCGGCUUGACAAUGAAUGCGCUGGCCCUUCUUCCAUUGGAGUCGAUAACAGCAACGAGGUGGGAGCGAUUUCGCCCUUGAAGCGGGAGACGUUUGAAGCAGUUGAGGGGUUGCUUCUAACGAAUAAAUCCGAAACGGCACCUGAAGUUUCCUCGGAACACCCUGAUGCGCACUUGACCGAAAAACUUGUUACUUCUCAACAAACCAGUUGUCCCGGUUCCAUCGGGAAAAUAAUACAGAAUGUAAAGAGCGACGAAAACCGAGCUGUUCAUCGACGAUCAUUAGAAUGUCAUCUCGGUAACACUUCCCACAGUGGGGUAAAAAAUGCCAACGAAACAGGUGGGACUUCGCCCAUGAAACGUGAAGCGGUCGAAGCAUUAGAGGAUUUUCCUAUAUCAAAGAAAUCCGGAGCGACUCCCGAGGUUGUCCUGGGUAUACAACUUUUUUUUAUAUUGUGUGGUGCCGAUAUAACAAUUUGUUAUACUUCUAUUUAGGGUGCUCUAAUGUUCAGUUGGACGAACCAUCAACCUCCAACGAAUCAACAAAUGUCGCGAAGUCACCGGGAAAGCUUCACAUACUACAGAGGGUGUCGAAAGACGAACUGUUUCUCGACAAUCAUUUGCCGAAGUCAGAAGCACAAACGAGAUGGGUGGAACUUUGUCCAUGGAGUGUGAAACGUUUGAAGUAACAAAGAAAUCAGGAAUGGUGCCAGAGCAGAUGGAAGGCCACUCAUCAAGACCACAAAAAACGGACAUACUUUUCGAUGGUCCUGUAAACGAUUCGGAUGACGAGGAAGGUGAUCCCACUCUUCUAAACGAAUUAUCUAUCUUCGAAUAUUUUGAAUAAUUUCAAAAUAUUGAAUCCGACGAUGACGACUCAGAUGUAGAGUAUGACGAGCAUCUACGGCUAAUUUCCGAGUCAGUCGUAGAUUCAGAUGAUGAUCACGGGCAGAAACAGG